This 253-nucleotide ribosomal RNA is filed under the name uncultured prokaryote. Its description in RNAcentral is "partial 16S ribosomal RNA". It matches the Rfam family "Bacterial small subunit ribosomal RNA", at positions 525 to 777 of the family's 1533-position model. The record is from RNAcentral.
ACGAAGGGGGCUAGCGUUGUUCGGAAUUACUGGGCGUAAAGCGCACGUAGGCGGAUUUGUUAGUCAGGGGUGAAAUCCCGGGGCUUAACCUCGGAAUUGCCUUUGAUACUGCAAGUCUUGAGUCCGGAAGAGGUGAGUGGAAUUCCUAGUGUAGAGGUGAAAUUCGUAGAUAUUAGGAAGAACACCAGUGGCGAAGGCGGCUCACUGGUCCGGUACUGACGCUGAGGUGCGAAAGCGUGGGGAGCAAACAGGA